This is a long non-coding RNA of Cornus florida, 882 nucleotides long. RefSeq lists it as uncharacterized. NCBI's taxonomy places the organism in Eukaryota, Viridiplantae, Streptophyta, Magnoliopsida, Cornales, Cornaceae. The transcript is spliced from 2 exons. The record is from RefSeq and is a predicted model, not a curated record.
UAUUUUCACAGUGACAAAAAAUAGAAAACUGUAUUUUACUUUUGCUUGGAUUAUUUUGUGGAAACAGUUUUUGAAAAACUAAAAACCGAUAGUUACAUUUUAGAGAACAAUAAAAAGGUGUACUCACAAUUCUUGAGUUGCGAUUCUCACUUUUUAGGAAACACGGAGAACAAUUUAUACUUAAAAAAAUCACGUUGAAGGGCAUCGUCUAAAACAUCAUCCUAAUCUUAUCGAUUUUUCCACCUGAGUCGUCCAUUCCUCCUUCUCCUCUUUCUAUGCACAGAAGUGCUCUUUGUUUGGAUCAUCGAAGUAAUCUAACCUCAUCAAGAAGCUUCUCCCGGUUAUUCCUCCCUCUCUCUAACAGAACAUAACUCAGCUUUCUUUCCAGGUUUCUUCAUCGAUUAGAUCUCAUCUUCUCUGGAUUUCUCACUGGUGUUGGGCUAGCGAUCAACCGGAAAAAGGCUCACGAUCGACUGGUUUAAAGACACUCUUUCAGGUAUUGCUUGUUGCAGUAUUCAUAAUUUUAUCCGUCAAAAUGCACUAGUUGGUUGCUUUUUUAUUGGGUAUGAAGAAGAAGAUGAUGUUAUUGGUAAGGGGAAUGCUAGCACGAUUCAAGGACCGAAUGCAGUUAACUUCUAUGAAACAAGGUCUCAUGGGAUAGAAUCACAUACUUUUACCAGUGAUGUUCAUCCAAAUUUCAUCCAGAUGAUGUUUCACAUAUUUCAUUUUUUUCCAUGUCAUACAUGGAAUAUAUGCUUGUUCUAUUAAUUGCCUUUUAAGUUUGGAUGAGAAGUGAGAAGGUUUAUGUAUGUAGACAUUGAAUUCAUGUAAUGUUAUGAAUGAAAGAAACCCAAAAUACAAGAGCAGUUUUUUGCUACACAA